AACGAAUUUCGAGCAGCGGUGGGCAAGGCAAGCACCAAAGGCGAUCGCCAACAGUUUGCUGAAAAGCCUACAUGAGGAUGUUCAUCUUUUUCCGCCACCGUCGGAUGUCGGCGGGCCGGAAUCGUGGAACGUGCAGGUGUUCAGGUCAAUUGAUGAUGCGUCGGUGGUCGGUUUCCCGUCCGAUCCAGCUGUUGCUUCCGAGAUGGGACUGAUGAGUGGGAAGGACGUGACCAUCGAUCAAAGCAUACACUCAGGGUACAUCGAGGCCAUUCGGAGGGCUAAGAGGUUUAUCUACAUUCAGAACCAGUACUUCUUCGGGAGCUGUG
This 326-nucleotide unclassified non-coding RNA is filed under the name Hevea brasiliensis (rubber tree). The record is from RNAcentral. Lineage: Eukaryota; Viridiplantae; Streptophyta; Magnoliopsida; Malpighiales; Euphorbiaceae.